CGGGACGGGGUGGAGGUAAAGUGUCUGGGAAACUAGCCUGAUGAGGGGGAGUAACUACUGGAAACGGUAGCUAAUACCGCAUAACGUCGCAAGACCAAAGAGGGGGACCUUCGGGCCUCUUGCCAUCGGAUGUGCCCAGAUGGGAUUAGCUAGUAGGUGGGGUAACGGCUCACCUAGGCGACGAUCCCUAGCUGGUCUGAGAGGAUGACCAGCCACACUGGAACUGAGACACGGUCCAG
Molecule: ribosomal RNA, 239 nt
Filed under: uncultured bacterium
Lineage: Bacteria
Description: partial 16S ribosomal RNA
Rfam family: Bacterial small subunit ribosomal RNA
Source: RNAcentral